UUUAAAUUGAGAGUUUGAUCCUGGCUCAGGACGAACGCUGGCGGCGUGCCUAACACAUGCAAGUCGAGCGAUGAA
This 75-nucleotide ribosomal RNA is filed under the name Clostridium botulinum C/D. Its description in RNAcentral is "partial 16S ribosomal RNA". It matches the Rfam family "Bacterial small subunit ribosomal RNA", at positions 1 to 73 of the family's 1533-position model. RNAcentral also lists the same sequence under 1 other name. The record is from RNAcentral. Lineage: Bacteria; Bacillati; Bacillota; Clostridia; Eubacteriales; Clostridiaceae.